UCCGUAGGUGGAUAAUUAAGUCAGAGGUGAAAUCCUGCAGCUCAACUGUAGAAUUGCCUUUGAUACUGGUUAUCUUGAGUUAUUAUGAAGUAGUUAGAAUAUGUAGUGUAGCGGUGAAAUGCAUAGAUAUUACAUAGAAUACCAAUUGCGAAGGCAGAUUACUAAUAAUCAACUGACACUGAUGGACGAAAGCGUGAGGAGCGAACAGGAUUAGAUACCCUGGUAGUCC
This 229-nucleotide ribosomal RNA is filed under the name uncultured bacterium. RNAcentral's name for it is "partial 16S ribosomal RNA". It matches the Rfam family "Bacterial small subunit ribosomal RNA", at positions 568 to 796 of the family's 1533-position model. The record is from RNAcentral.